RNAcentral lists this ribosomal RNA (497 nucleotides) under uncultured bacterium. Its description in RNAcentral is "partial 16S ribosomal RNA". It matches the Rfam family "Bacterial small subunit ribosomal RNA", at positions 28 to 507 of the family's 1533-position model. The record is from RNAcentral.
GACGAACGCUGGCGGCGUGCCUAAUACAUGCAAGUCGAGCGCUGAAGGUUGGUACUUGUACCGUCUGGGUGAGCAGCGCACGGGUGAGUAACGCGUGGGGAAUCUGCCUUUGUGCGGGGGACCACCAUUGGAAACGAAUGCUAAUACCGCAUAAAAACUUUAAACACAAGUUUUAAGUUUGAAAGAUGCAAUUGCAUCACUCAAAGAUGAUCCCGCGUUGUAUUAGCUUGUUGGUGAGGUAAAGGCUCACCAAGGCGAGGAUACAUAGCCGACCUGAGAGGGUGAGCAGCCACAUUGGGACUGAGACACGGCCCAAAGGGCUACGGGAGGCAGCAGUAGGGAAACUUCGGCCAUGGGCGAAAGUCUGACCGAACAACGCCGCGGGAGUGAAGAAGGUUGUCGGGUCGGAAAACUCGGUUGGUAGGGAAGAAAGUUGGUGAGAGUGGAAAGAUGAUUAAGUGACGGUAACUACUCAGAAAGGGACGGCUAACUACGUG